UCGGUAUGGGANGGGGUCGCGUCCUAUCAGCUUGAUGGCGGGGUAACGGCCCACCAUGGCUUCGACGGGUAGCCGGCCUGAGAGGGCGACCGGCCACAUUGGGACUGAGAUACGGCCCAGACUCCUACGGGAGGCAGCAGUGGGGAAUAUUGCACAAUGGGCGCAAGCCUGAUGCAGCGACGCCGCGUGCGGGAUGGAGGCCUUCGGGUUGUAAACCGCUUUUGAUCGGGAGCAAGCCCUUCGGGGUGAGUGUACCUUUCGAAUAAGCACCGGCUAACUACGUGCCAGCAGCCGCGGUAAUACGUAGGGUGCAAGCGUUAUCCGGAAUUAUUGGGCGUAAAGGGCUCGUAGGCGGUUCGUCGCGUCCGGUGUGAAAGCCCAUCGCUUAACGGUGGGUCUGCGCCGGGUACGGGCGGGCUGGAGUGCGGUAGGGGAGACUGGAAUUCC
Molecule: ribosomal RNA, 447 nt
Filed under: Bifidobacterium dentium
Lineage: Bacteria; Bacillati; Actinomycetota; Actinomycetes; Bifidobacteriales; Bifidobacteriaceae
Description: bacterial SSU rRNA
Rfam family: Bacterial small subunit ribosomal RNA
Source: RNAcentral